Molecule: ribosomal RNA, 253 nt
Filed under: uncultured bacterium
Lineage: Bacteria
Description: partial 16S ribosomal RNA
Rfam family: Bacterial small subunit ribosomal RNA
Source: RNAcentral
UACAGAGGGUGCAAGCGUUAAUCGGAAUUAUUGGGUUUAAAGGGUGCGUAGGCGGCCUGUUAAGUCAGGGGUGAAAUUUUUCGGCUCAACCGGAAGCUUGCCUUUGAUACUGAUGGGCUUGAUUACACUUGAGGUAGGCGGAAUGUGACAAGUAGCGGUGAAAUGCAUAGAGAUGUCACAGAACACCAAUUGCGAAGGCAGCUUACUAAGGUGUUAAUGACGCUGAGGCACGAAAGCGUGGGGAUCAAACAGG